RNAcentral lists this ribosomal RNA (715 nucleotides) under Salmonella enterica. Its description in RNAcentral is "partial 23S ribosomal RNA". It matches the Rfam family "Bacterial large subunit ribosomal RNA", at positions 161 to 915 of the family's 2925-position model. The record is from RNAcentral. Lineage: Bacteria; Pseudomonadati; Pseudomonadota; Gammaproteobacteria; Enterobacterales; Enterobacteriaceae.
AAUCCAUAGGUUAAUGAGGCGAACCGGGGGAACUGAAACAUCUAAGUACCCCGAGGAAAAGAAAUCAACCGAGAUUCCCCCAGUAGCGGCGAGCGAACGGGGAGGAGCCCAGAGCCUGAAUCAGCAUGUGUGUUAGUGGAAGCGUCUGGAAAGGCGCGCGAUACAGGGUGACAGCCCCGUACACAAAAGCGCAUGUGCUGUGAGCUCGAUGAGUAGGGCGGGACACGUGGUAUCCUGUCUGAAUAUGGGGGGACCAUCCUCCAAGGCUAAAUACUCCUGACUGACCGAUAGUGAACCAGUACCGUGAGGGAAAGGCGAAAAGAACCCCGGCGAGGGGAGUGAAAAAGAACCUGAAACCGUGUACGUACAAGCAGUGGGAGCACAGGUUUACCUGUGUGACUGCGUACCUUUUGUAUAAUGGGUCAGCGACUUAUAUUCUGUAGCAAGGUUAACCGUAUAGGGGAGCCGUAGGGAAACCGAGUCUUAACCGGGCGUUAAGUUGCAGGGUAUAGACCCGAAACCCGGUGAUCUAGCCAUGGGCAGGUUGAAGGUUGGGUAACACUAACUGGAGGACCGAACCGACUAAUGUUGAAAAAUUAGCGGAUGACCUGUGGCUGGGGGUGAAAGGCCAAUCAAACCGGGAGAUAGCUGGUUCUCCCCGAAAGCUAUUUAGGUAGCGCCUCGUGAAUUCAUCUCCGGGGGUAGAGCACUGUUU